CUUCCGGAGAGGACGCGAAGGGGUUAACUUCUGGUCUGUUGUUUCCAUUCUGUCUCCGCCUCCCACCCCCGCGUCCCCCUCCCGCGGGACCUCUGGGAUUGGUUGGCACUCUGCCAUCAGGCUGUCAAUCAUUGAGUGUAAACAAGGCGCUGAUUGGCUGUUGUCCAGUCCGCAAUGGGCCUCCUGAAAAAAGCAAUUACUGCCUCCGCGGUUUCAAGGCGGCCCAAGGCCGCUUGAUGAAAGGAGAUAAGCUGGGGACAGUUUCCAGGAUCCCCGCGGGCCGACCGGGGCUGCCCGGGAGCGGAGGUGCGGCGGAGAGUCCGAGGAUCAAAGGAAUCCACAGAGAAAAGGGAAGCGGGCGGACAUCCUGGCUAGCCUGGCCCCCCGCGGGCUGCGCUGACCUGAGGUAGGGUCACCCUGGGUUUAGGUUGGGACCUACCUGAAGCUCAGACAGCAGAGGAGAAGCCACCUGAAGACAGAGACAGAGGCUUGGCUCAGCCGAGGAGCAGCAGGGCCCCCAGCAGCAGGCAGGACAGGAAGUGUCCUCCUCGGGAGCCUCCAGAGCAAACUGGCACCUUGAUUUAGGUCUUCUGGGCCUCAGAACUAUGAAAGAAUAAAUUUUUAUUACUUUAAGUUACCCAAUUUGUGGAAAUUUGUUACAACAGCCCAAGGAAACCCAAACAAUACUUUUAAAAUUCAGAAGGUUGCCAGGCAUGAGUGUGUACACUUAUAAUCCCAGCACUCUGGGAGGCCGAGGCAGGAGGAUCACAAGUUCAAGACUAAGCCGGGC
RNAcentral lists this long non-coding RNA (790 nucleotides) under Fukomys damarensis (Damara mole-rat). RNAcentral describes it as "lncRNA (ENSFDAG00000022954.1)". Lineage: Eukaryota; Metazoa; Chordata; Mammalia; Rodentia; Bathyergidae. The record is from RNAcentral.